CAUGCAAGUCGAACGGGAAUAUUUCAUUGAGACUUCGGUGGAUUUGAUCUAUUUCUAGUGGCGGACGGGUGAGUAACGCGUGGGUAACCUGCCUUAUACAGGGGGAUAACAGUCAGAAAUGGCUGCUAAUACCGCAUAAGCGCACAGAGCUGCAUGGCUCAGUGUGAAAAACUCCGGUGGUAUAAGAUGGACCCGCGUUGGAUUAGCUUGUUGGUGGGGUAACGGCCCACCAAGGCGACGAUCCAUAGCCGGCCUGAGAGGGUGAACGGCCACAUUGGGACUGAGACACGGCCCAGACUCCUACGGGAGGCAGCAGUGGGGAAUAUUGCACAAUGGGGGAAACCCUGAUGCAGCGACGCCGCGUGAAGGAAGAAGUAUCUCGGUAUGUAAACUUCUAUCAGCAGGGAAGAUAGUGACGGUACCUGACUAAGAAGCCCCGGCUAACUACGUGCCAGCAGCCGCGGUAAUACGUAGGGGGCAAGCGUUAUCCGGAUUUACUGGGUGUAAAGGGAGCGUAGACGGUGUGGCAAGUCUGAUGUGAAAGGCAUGGGCUCAACCUGUGGACUGCAUUGGAAACUGUCAUACUUGAGUGCCGGAGGGGUAAGCGGAAUUCCUAGUGUAGCGGUGAAAUGCGUAGAUAUUAGGAGGAACACCAGUGGCGAAGGCGGCU
Molecule: ribosomal RNA, 670 nt
Filed under: uncultured Lachnospiraceae bacterium
Lineage: Bacteria; Bacillati; Bacillota; Clostridia; Lachnospirales; Lachnospiraceae
Description: bacterial SSU rRNA
Rfam family: Bacterial small subunit ribosomal RNA
Source: RNAcentral